This 331-nucleotide unclassified non-coding RNA is filed under the name soil metagenome. Its description in RNAcentral is "partial contains 5.8S ribosomal RNA, internal transcribed spacer 2, and large subunit ribosomal RNA". The stretch from base 3 to 119 matches the Rfam family "5.8S ribosomal RNA", at positions 38 to 154 of the family's 154-position model. The record is from RNAcentral.
GAGAAGAACGCAGCGAAAUGCGAUAAGUAGUGUGAAUUGCAGAAUUCAGUGAAUCAUCGAAUCUUUGAACGCACAUUGCGCCCUUUGGUAUUCCUUAGGGCAUGCCUGUUCGAGCGUCAUUUAAACCUUCAAGCUCAGCUUGGUGUUGGGUGACUGUCCGCUUCACCGCGGACUCGCCUCAAAAUUAUUGGCGGCCGGUACAUUGGCUUCGAGCGCAGCAGAAACGCGAACUCGGGCCCGUCGUAUUGGCUCCCAGAAGCUAUCUUCACAAUUUUGACCUCGGAUCAGGUAGGGAUACCCGCUGAACUUAAGCAUAUCAAUAAGCGGAGGA